UACGAAGGGGGCUAGCGUUGUUCGGAAUUACUGGGCGUAAAGCGCACGUAGGCGGAUAUUUAAGUCAGGGGUGAAAUCCCGGGGCUCAACCCCGGAACUGCCUCUGAUACUGGGUAUCUUGAGUUCGGAAGAGGUGAGUGGAAUUGCGAGUGUAGAGGUGAAAUUCGUAGAUAUUCGCAGGAACACCAGUGGCGAAGGCGGCUCACUGGUCCGAUACUGACGCUGAGGUGCGAAAGCGUGGGGAGCAAACAGGAUUAGAAACCCCCGUAGUCC
This 273-nucleotide ribosomal RNA is filed under the name uncultured bacterium. RNAcentral's name for it is "partial 16S ribosomal RNA". It matches the Rfam family "Bacterial small subunit ribosomal RNA", at positions 524 to 796 of the family's 1533-position model. The record is from RNAcentral.